Molecule: ribosomal RNA, 460 nt
Filed under: uncultured Porphyromonas sp.
Lineage: Bacteria; Pseudomonadati; Bacteroidota; Bacteroidia; Bacteroidales; Porphyromonadaceae
Description: bacterial SSU rRNA
Rfam family: Bacterial small subunit ribosomal RNA
Source: RNAcentral
CCUACGGGAGGCAGCAGUGGGGAAUUUUGGACAAUGGGCGCAAGCCUGAACCAGCCAAGUCGCGUGAAGGAUGACUGUCUUAUGGAUUGUAAACUUCUUUUAUACGGGAAUAACAAGAGCCACGUGUGGCUCCCUGCAUGUACCGUAUGAAUAAGCAUCGGCUAACUCCGUGCCAGCAGCCGCGGUAAUACGGAGGAUGCGAGCGUUAUCCGGAUUUAUUGGGUUUAAAGGGUGCGUAGGCGGCCUGUUAAGUCAGCGGUGAAAUCUAGGAGCUUAACUCCUAAAUUGCCAUUGAUACUGGCGGGCUUGAGUGUAGAUGAGGUAGGCGGAAUGCGUGGUGUAGCGGUGGAAUGCAUAGAUAUCACGCAGAACUCCGAUUGCGAAGGCAGCUUACUAAGGUACAACUGACGCUGAAGCACGAAAGCGUGGGUAUCAAACAGGAUUAGAUACCCGAGUAGUC